Rattus norvegicus (Norway rat) is the source of this 491-nucleotide non-coding RNA. NCBI's taxonomy places the organism in Eukaryota, Metazoa, Chordata, Mammalia, Rodentia, Muridae. The record is from RefSeq and is a predicted model, not a curated record.
GAUAGCCCUUCUGUGGCGGCUUGGUAUAAGGGUGGGACAGGAGGGGCUGAGAAGUAAUGAGAUGUAUCUACCUUGUAGAGCGUCAGCCUGUGAGACCAGGGAGACUCACGAAUUACCCAUGCGAGUUAAUGGGCUCUGCACAUUUCUUCUGUGUUCGUCUUCCCUGCUUGGAGCAAGAAUGUGCAGGUCGGGCUCAUACCAUGUGAGACACAUCUGCUCCUGGCAGUACCCCCAAUCUACUUCAAAGAAGAUGAUGGGCAUUGAAGAACCUCCUCAUGGAGUUUGCUUCAAACAUGGCAAAGGUAGCCCCUGGGCAGAAAGUUGCUCUUACCUCAACAGCUGACAACAGGCUGUCCAAACUGUGGACAAGCAGGACACUGGAAAAUCGACUGUCCAACUUUGCAGAGAUAAGGUAGGCCAGUCCUUUAAAAUUCCUGCUUCAUAGAAAGGUCUCUCAGAUAUUCUGGGCUUGUAGGCCAAAGAUGGACGCC